GUUUGCACUUGUCGGGGAAGGGUGAGAACCUUCGAUUAAGGUUCGACUCGAGCGAAAGAACGUUGCCAACGGUAACGGC
Molecule: small RNA, 79 nt
Filed under: Salmonella enterica
Lineage: Bacteria; Pseudomonadati; Pseudomonadota; Gammaproteobacteria; Enterobacterales; Enterobacteriaceae
Also listed under: 1 other name
Description: partial RtT sRNA
Rfam family: RtT RNA
About the family: This family represents a bacterial cis-regulatory element known as RtT RNA. The exact function of RtT is unknown although it is thought that it may be involved in changing the cellular response in relation to amino acid starvation.
Source: RNAcentral